UUUCCGUAGGUGAACCUGCGGAAGGAUCAUUAAAAAAUAAUCCUUUGGAUUAUAAAUCCAUACCCACCUUAUGUGCACCGUAACUUGUCCAUUGCUUUUUCCAUUUUCCGGUUGUGUGUUUUUCGUUUUUUCCAUUUCGAUGGGGGGAGCGGAAAUACCGGUGGUGGAUGGAAGAGCAAUAAUUAUCACACACGUUUAUAUUACCAAGUCUGAAGUAUAACUUUUGCGAAAGCAGAAAUUAAUAAAACAACUUUCAACAACGGAUCUCUUGGCUCCC
RNAcentral lists this unclassified non-coding RNA (277 nucleotides) under soil metagenome. RNAcentral's name for it is "partial contains small subunit ribosomal RNA, internal transcribed spacer 1, and 5.8S ribosomal RNA". The record is from RNAcentral.